CAGUAGCCGCGGUAAUACCGAGGGUGCGAGCGUUAAUCGGAUUUACUGGGCGUAAAGCGUGCGUAGGCGGCUUCUUAAGUCGGAUGUGAAAUCCCUGAGCUUAACUUAGGAAUUGCAUUCGAUACUGGGAAGCUAGAGUAUGGGAGAGGAUGGUAGAAUUCCAGGUGUAGCGGUGAAAUGCGUAGAGAUCUGGAGGAAUACCGAUGGCGAAGGCAGCCAUCUGGCCUAAUACUGACGCUGAGGUACGAAAGCAUGGGGAGCAAACAGGAUUAGAUUACCCCAGUAGUCCCUGUCUCUUAUA
This 301-nucleotide ribosomal RNA is filed under the name uncultured bacterium. RNAcentral describes it as "partial 16S ribosomal RNA". It matches the Rfam family "Bacterial small subunit ribosomal RNA", at positions 509 to 808 of the family's 1533-position model. The record is from RNAcentral.